GUGACUUGUCAAGGGUCACACAGCUAGUAUGUCUCUGAAACUAGAUUUGCACUUAGGAAGAGGAGUCUUCUUGACUCCAGGACUGGUGCUCUACCCACUUUGCCAUGUAGCUACAUAUAUAUUGAUAUAUUUAUAUAUGUGUGUAUGUGUGUGUGUUUAUACAUAUACAUAUCACACACAUAUGUAUCCAUCUAUCCAGGAUAAAUUGGAGAUAACAAAGAACAAAGGCAUUAGAGUUCAGAGGGAUGGGGAAAGACUUCUUGUAGAAGGAGGGACUUGAAGGAAGUCUUUAGUCCAUCACCCUAACCUCAAGGAUAUGGACCUCAAGAUGGGCAGCACUCUAGAAUCCACUCUAGAAUUGUGCUUGAUCCUAUGGUUCCUAAGAGCAGAGACUUUUUGUAUUUGUGUCUGGGUUGUCUAGGAGAUGGAGGUAAAAAGGAAGGAUUGCAGGCAAUAUAUGAUGACCAAUACAGAGGCACUCUUAGAGAAAGAAUGUCCUGAAUGAAGAAAAGAGAGAAGACCACUUUGGCUAUAUGAUGGUGUACAGGGGAAUAAGGAGAAACGUUCCCCAGAUCCUUUGAUUGUACUUCUGAGACGUUAUCUUGGUCACCCUCUCCUGGACCCGAUCCAGUUUGUUAGUGUCUCUUAAACUGGAGGGACCAGCUUUCUUCACUGUCUGUAAUCCAUUGUGGGCUUCUCAUAGAGCAAUCUGGCAAUGUCCAAUGAAUGAGUCACAGUAAUUUCAAUACAAAAAAGAAGAAGAAAAAACAACUUAUGUGUCCAAUGAAUCUUUGGUGUCUCUCAUUUCAUACCUAAAUAAAAUUUUGCCAUCC
This is a non-coding RNA of Monodelphis domestica (gray short-tailed opossum), 833 nucleotides long. The record is from RefSeq and is a predicted model, not a curated record. NCBI's taxonomy places the organism in Eukaryota, Metazoa, Chordata, Mammalia, Didelphimorphia, Didelphidae.